UAGUCCACGCCGUAAACGAUGAGAACUAGAUGUUGGGAGGAUUUUGCCUCUCAGUGUCGCAGCUAACGCGUUAAGUUCUCCGCCUGGGGAGUACGCCGGCAACGGUAAAACUCAAAGGAAUUGACGGGACCCGCACAAGCGGUGGAGCAUGUGGUUUAAUUCGAUGCAACGCGAAGAACCUUACCUGCCCUUGACAUUGACAGAAUCCCAGAGAGAUUUGGGAGUGCUUCGGCCUGGAAAACAGGUGCUGCAUGGCUGUCGUCAGCUCGUGUCGUGAGAUGUUGGGUUAAGUCCCGCAACGAGCGCAACCCUUGUCCUUAGUUGCCAGCACGUAAUGGUGGGAACUCUAAGGAGACCGCCGGUGAUAAACCGGGAGGAAGGUGGGGACGACGUCAAGUCAUCAUGGCCCUUAUGGGGCAGGGGCUACACACGUGCUACAAUGGCCGGGUACAGAGGGGUUGCCAACCCGCGAGGGGGGAGCUAAUCCCAGAAAGCCGGGUCGUAGUCCGGGAUCGGGAGUCUGCAACUC
RNAcentral lists this ribosomal RNA (529 nucleotides) under uncultured bacterium. RNAcentral's name for it is "bacterial SSU rRNA". It matches the Rfam family "Bacterial small subunit ribosomal RNA", at positions 791 to 1313 of the family's 1533-position model. The record is from RNAcentral.